This 391-nucleotide unclassified non-coding RNA is filed under the name soil metagenome. Its description in RNAcentral is "partial contains 5.8S ribosomal RNA, internal transcribed spacer 2, and large subunit ribosomal RNA". The stretch from base 1 to 122 matches the Rfam family "5.8S ribosomal RNA", at positions 35 to 154 of the family's 154-position model. The record is from RNAcentral.
GAUGAAGAACGUAGCGAAAUGCGAUACUUGGUGUGAAUUGCAGAAUCCCGUGAACCAUCGAGUCUUUGAACGCAAGUUGCGCCCGAGGCCAUUAGGCCGAGGGCACGCCUGCCUGGGCGUCACACGUCGUUGCCCCCCCAUCUACUCCUUCGGGAUUGCGGGGGGCGGAUCAUGGCCUCCCGUGCGCCUCGCCGCGCGGUUGGCAUAAAUGCCAAGUCCUCGGCGACGCACGCCACGACAAUCGGUGGUUGCGAAACCUCGGUUGCCCGUCGUGUGCGGUCGUCGCGCAUCGAGGGCUCGAAAAAAUUGCCGGGUUCCGGCUCGGCUUUCAACGCGACCCCAGGUCAGGCGGGGUUACCCGCUGAAUUUAAGCAUAUCAAUAAGCGGAGGA